This 255-nucleotide ribosomal RNA is filed under the name uncultured prokaryote. RNAcentral describes it as "partial 16S ribosomal RNA". It matches the Rfam family "Bacterial small subunit ribosomal RNA", at positions 524 to 777 of the family's 1533-position model. The record is from RNAcentral.
UACGUAGGGUGCGAGCGUUGUCCGGAAUUACUGGGCGUAAAGAGCUCGUAGGUGGUUUGUCACGUCGUCUGUGAAAUUCCGGGGCUUAACCUCGGGCGUGCAGGCGAUGCGGGCAAUACUUGAGUGCUGUAGGGGAGACUGGAAUUCCUGGUGUAGCGGUGAAAUGCGCAGAUAUCAGGAGGAACACCAAUGGCGAAGGCAGGUCUCUGGGCAGCUACUGACGCUGAGGAGCGAAAGCAUGGGUAGCGAACAGGA